Molecule: ribosomal RNA, 253 nt
Filed under: uncultured bacterium
Lineage: Bacteria
Description: partial 16S ribosomal RNA
Rfam family: Bacterial small subunit ribosomal RNA
Source: RNAcentral
GACGUAGGGCGCGAGCGUUGUCCGGAUUUAUUGGGCGUAAAGAGCUCGUAGGCGGCUUGUUGCGUCGGCUGUGAAAACCCAUGGCUCGACCGUGGGCUUGCAGCCGAUACGGGCAGGCUAGAGUUCGGUAGGGGAGACUGGAAUUCCUGGUGUAGCGGUGAAAUGCGCAGAUAUCAGGAGGAACACCAGUGGCGAAGGCGGGUCUCUGGGCCGUAACUGACGCUGAGGAGCGAAAGCGUGGGGAGCGAACAGG